Molecule: ribosomal RNA, 554 nt
Filed under: uncultured archaeon
Lineage: Archaea
Description: bacterial SSU rRNA
Rfam family: Archaeal small subunit ribosomal RNA
Source: RNAcentral
ACGGGGUGCAGCAGGCGCGAAAACUUUACAAUGCGGGCAACCGCGAUAAGGGGACCUCGAGUGCCAGGAUACAAUUCUGGCUGUCGCGAUGCCUAAAAAGCAUUGCAUAGCAAGGGCCGGGCAAGACCGGUGCCAGCCGCCGCGGUAACACCGGCGGCUCGAGUGGUAACCGCUAUUAUUGGGUCUAAAGGGUCUGUAGCCGGCCGAAUAAGUCUCUUGGGAAAUCCGGCAGCUCAACUGUCGGGCUUUCAGGAGAUACUGUUCGGCUCGAGACCGGAAGAGGUGAGAGGUACUUCAGGGGUAGGGGUGAAAUCUUGUAAUCCUUGAAGGACCACCAGUGGCGAAGGCGUCUCACCAGAACGGAUCUGACGGCAAGGGACGAAAGCUAGGGGCACGAACCGGAUUAGAUACCCGGGUAGUCCUAGCCGUAAACAAUACUCGCUAGGUGUCGGCCACGGUGCGACCGUGGUCGGUGCCGUAGGGAAACCGUGAAGCGAGCCACCUGGGAAGUACGGCCGCAAGGCUGAAACUUAAAGGAAUUGGCGGGGGAGCAC